RNAcentral lists this ribosomal RNA (494 nucleotides) under uncultured bacterium. RNAcentral describes it as "partial 16S ribosomal RNA". It matches the Rfam family "Bacterial small subunit ribosomal RNA", at positions 28 to 507 of the family's 1533-position model. The record is from RNAcentral.
GACGAACGCUGGCGGCGCGCUUAACACAUGCAAGUCGAACGGAAAGGCCUGCUUUCCCUUGUGGAUUGCGGGUACUCGAGUGGCGAACGGGUGAGUAACACGUGAGUGAUCUGCCCCCAACUUGGGUAUAAGCCUGGGAAACUGGGUCUAAUUCCCGAUAGGACUGCAGGGUGGUGCCUGUGGUGGAAAACGAUUUUCUAGUGGUUGGGUAUGAGCUCGCGGCCUAUCAGCUUGUUGGUGGGGUAAUGGCCUACCAAGGCGGCGACGGGUAGCCGGCCUGAGAGGGUGGACGGCCACAUUGGGACUGGGAUACGGCCCAGACUCCUACGGGAGGCAGCAGUGGGGAAUAUUGCACAAUGGGCGGAAGCCUGAUGCAGCGACGCCGCGUGGGGGAUGACGGCCUUCGGGUUGUAAACUCCUUUCGACCGCGAGGAAGCCACCUGGUUGGAAGGGUGGUGACGGUAGUGGUAGAAGAAGCACCGGCUAACUACGUG